CAGAUUCCCAUUAGGGGAAGGUGAGAACCUUCGACCAAGGUUCGACAAAACCGACACGGUUUUGAGCAACGCGUAGCGUUGACCCGCAGGGCGAGGAGCGAAGCGAGGAGUUAUCCUUCCCCCACCACCA
This 130-nucleotide small RNA is filed under the name Pectobacterium carotovorum. RNAcentral describes it as "RtT sRNA". It matches the Rfam family "RtT RNA". Rfam says of the family: This family represents a bacterial cis-regulatory element known as RtT RNA. Lineage: Bacteria; Pseudomonadati; Pseudomonadota; Gammaproteobacteria; Enterobacterales; Pectobacteriaceae. The record is from RNAcentral. RNAcentral also lists the same sequence under 1 other name.